RNAcentral lists this ribosomal RNA (294 nucleotides) under uncultured microorganism. RNAcentral describes it as "partial 16S ribosomal RNA". It matches the Rfam family "Bacterial small subunit ribosomal RNA", at positions 505 to 796 of the family's 1533-position model. The record is from RNAcentral.
GUGCCAGCAGCCGCGGUAAUACGUAGGGUGCAAGCGUUAAUCGCUAUUACUGGGCGUAAAGCGUGCGCAGGCGGUUAUGCAAGACAGAUGUGAAAUCCCCGGGCUCAACCUGGGAACUGCAUUUGUGACUGCAUGGCUAGAGUACGGUAGAGGGGGAUGGAAUUCCGCGUGUACCAGUGAAAAUGCGUAGAUAUGCGGAGGAACACCGAUGGCGAAGGCAAUCCCCUGGACCUGUACUGACGCUCAUGCACGAAAGCGUGGGGGGCAAACAGGGAUUAGAUACCCUGGUAGUCC